Molecule: long non-coding RNA, 1743 nt
Filed under: Lynx pardinus (Iberian lynx)
Lineage: Eukaryota; Metazoa; Chordata; Mammalia; Carnivora; Felidae
Source: RNAcentral
GGCCGCUUUGCGGAUUUUACGCUUGACAUUGCCCUCCGUGCCCGGAGCAUACGGCUCACGCUCGUUUGUCAGGUAGCGAAGAAUGGCCCGGUAGCUUUCCUCGCUUGACAUCUCUGACGGCGGCUCCCUAAGGGCGCCUGUCAGUGGUGGGGGAGGAAGACAGCGCACUAGCUCCGGACGGAUGCAACAGCGGCGGCGGCACUGUAGGGAGGAAUGGCUGUAUCUGUGGUGAGUGCUCUUCGACGGCGCCCGCAGCGCGAAGGCAGAACCGACGAGUUGGUAACCAGGGGGAACUGCACUUCUCCAGCGCGCGGGAUCCGCUGGCGACUGACAAAAUGGCUGCUGCACCACCGGAAGUGACGUGAUCAAGGGCAGUGGGUGAGGGGACUGAGUCCUGAUUGGAGCGCACAGGCUUUCUGGAUUGAUGAAGCCAGCCGGGUGACGUCAGGACUGCGGGCGGACAUUUUGGAAGAGGGUAGGCCUUUCCUUCGAGACCGAAGACUGCUUUGAGCAGACAUCUUAAGUACUGGCAGUUUCCCUUUUCAUUUUUUCCUUCUUUCCCUUGCUCUGAGCACGUGUGGGAGUUGGUGGGCUGUUGAUUUCCCGUCGGAUAUACACCAAGGUGUGGAGGAGUCUGUUUUUUUUUUACCCCGAUUACCUUCUGAGACCCCCAACAACGUAAAAGCAUAAGAUUUUGAGGAUCUUAGUAAAAUAUAAGCCUAUAGAUAGCCCCAAGACCAAAGAUAGCCGCAUUCACAUGUAAAUUUAUUUUACAGGUAAACGUUUGAAAUCUGAGUCCUUCAGUGAUAAGAAUUAUAAUUUCCAGACUUAAAGUGUUGGCUCCAAAUCAGCCAUGGAACUGUCGGGAUUUUCCUCGAAUGACCGUCUAACAUAGGGGCAGUUUUCUAUAUUUGAAGGUAAUGAUGUUGGCAAUGAGUAGAUAGCACUCUUACAGCUUCAUUUGCAUGUAUUUUUACAUAAACCUGGGGGGGGGGGAUUCUCCAUUUUACACCCAACAUUUACCGAAUGCAUAAAAGACCAAGGCGACCUGAAAUGCAUCUUCCAGCGUACAGUGCGGGUCCUAUUUCACAUCUUUAGCGGGUAGGCCGGAGCAAUGGCCCAUGCCACCCAUCCGUUGGUUGAAUCUGCAGCGCAGACAAGACUACAGGCCCAGAACAUCCUACUCGACAACUGGGGUCUGGCAUUGACAGUACUUUGCUAGUUCCAGGUCAACCCUCCCCCUCUGCCCCCAGCCUGGAGUCUACAGUCGCUGGGUCAGGCUCUCUGACCCUGCGGAGACAUGUUAAGAGGUAAACAGGUGAAUGCACUGGGCUCAAAAAAUAGGAUGGCACCCAAUCUCUGCGGUACUUGCGGUUGACGUUGCGGGAAUUGACAGGUGGCUUAGAUACUUGAGGCAGCAUCCUUGAAUAAGAUUCUGGCUGUAGGUACCUGAGCUCCCAGACGUAUAUAGGAAAGACAUAACCACCAGACCAGGUAUUUACUUAGGGUCACUCGACCCAGACUGAGACAGCUGGGGAAAGGAAGAGGAAUUAGAAGGUAGAGAUGCGUCCUCUCCGCUCUUUGGAGUGGGCCACCCAAAGCAGAUACCCAAAUCAACCCUACAAGAACUGUGCUGGGCCAGCACCAUCACUCUUAUACUGUGAAAUCGACUUCCUUUAAAACUAAAUUUAAGGGGCACCUGCGUGGCUCAGUUGGUUAAGCAGCUGGUUUCGGUUCAUGACA